Molecule: long non-coding RNA, 5725 nt
Organism: Arvicola amphibius (Eurasian water vole)
Lineage: Eukaryota; Metazoa; Chordata; Mammalia; Rodentia; Cricetidae
Exons: 3
Source: RefSeq, a predicted model, not a curated record
CAUUCACAUUUAUUUUUGUCCAUUUUUGGGCUUUCUGUUGAAUUACCAUUGUGCAGUGAAAGUCCAACCCAAGCGGCAAAGGCAGACUUCGCUGAGGUGAAAAUUGUGUGUACCAGAGACGUCUGCCACUCAUUUUUACAACCCCGUUUUUUAAAAAUAUUUAUUUAUUAUGUAUACAAUAUUCUGUCUGUGUAUAUGCCUGCAGGCCAAGAAGAAGACACCAGACCUCAUUAUAGAUGGUUGUAAGCCACUAUGUGGUUGCUGGGAAUUGAACUCAGGACCUUUGGAAAAGCAGGCAAUGCUCUUAACCACUGAGCCAUCUCUUCAGCCCCUAUAACCCCGUUUUGGCUCAAGAGUAGUCCUGGUGAACGCACUGUGACAGAGUUGAGUCCCACAUUUUGGCAUAGACUUUUAAAUGAGUUCUUGCAAUUUGAAGCCAGAUCCGUUAUCACCCCUGGGCAGCCUCCUACAAAAUCUUUGUAAAUUGGGACUGUCAGAUACAAUCUGUCCCAAAGGGCUAAUUUCUCUAUGCACUAAGAUUUGGCUUCAACAUGACCUUGACAAUGAGAUGUGAUGGCCACCAGAGGGAGCUCGUGAGCUUUCCAUCCUCCAGGACCUCGAAAAUUUUGUGGCCAUGAGGACAAAUGGACAGAACUCUCCUCAUAUGUCCACAGUUUCUGGGCACUGCGCCCUUGCCCCUCCCUCAGUAGCCAGUGUCUUACAGCAUCGGUUCUGGUCACCAGGGUAACGGCGCCUCCAGAUUGCUGAUCAUCUGAGAAUUGGUACCCAGAAAGCUCUGCCAUGACCAUGCAUCCAAAGACACUGGCCCCUCCCCAACUCCCUUGAACCCUAAUACCCAACUCCCUCCUGUGGAGCAGCAGUCUCCACAAUCCUCCCCUUACCCACCCCUACCUACUUCCUCCCUAGUCAAUCCAGAAGUUCAAGAUCAACUUUCUCCCUACCCACUUUCCUCCCCUCCCCUCUCUCCUAUCACAUCUCCCUAUCCCCCCAUGCCAUCAACCCACUUCUUGAACCCCUUUACACACUGGCCUAACCCCUCCCAAUUCUCCCCUGUCUCCUCUCACCAGAUCUCACUAUAACACUGCCCUUCUCUGCCCUCUCCAGAAGGUAGUGGGAGCCGAUGGCAUUAUUAAAGUCCUUGUUUCCUUUUCUCUUCCGGAUCUCUCUCAGGUAGAAAAGCAGUUGGGUUCCUUCUCUGCUAAUCCUUCUGUUUCUAUUAAGGAGUAUCACUAUCUGUCACAGGCCUCCAAUCUAACCUGGCAUGAUUUCUACGCCAUCCAGGCCUCUACUCUCUCUCGCUGAAGAGCAAAGUAGAAUUCAGACAGUGUGCAGACCAGACCCACCUAGUAGAUAGUACGGUCCCUGUGGGGGAAGUGGCAGUGCCAGCCACAGAACCAUACUGGGAUUAUCAACCUGGCCAAAACAGCCAACAGAGGCGGAACAUCAUGGUCCGAUGCCUCCUUCAGGGUAUGGAGAUGGUCUCAGAAAAAAGGGGUUAAUUUUGACAAGCAUUGAGAAAUCACAUAGCUAGGCGAUGAAAACCCAGCCAUUUUUAAAAACCAAUUAUAAGAGAUCAUGGUUCAAUAUACUAGACUGGACCCUCCCCAGUGGGAGCCACAGUCCUGGCUACCCAUUCCGUUUCUCAGUCAGCACCAGAUAUUAGAAAAACGUUUUUUUAAAAAAAAGGCUGAGGAGGGUCUCCAAACCACCAUACAGAAAUUGGUGAAAAUGGCCUUUAAAGUUUUUAAUGCCCAAGAAGAAGCAGCUGAGUCCUCCCGACAGAUGAGGCUGCAACAGGCAGCAACGCUCCAAGCCCUAGCAGCUACCCUGAGGCCACGGGACCCCCAGAAGGAGGACAAGGAAAGUUUGCCAGUAGGCUACUAUAUUGUGGUCUAAAUGGCCAUUUGGCACGAUAUUACCCUGGGCCUCUGCCUACAAGGCCAUGCCUUAUCUGCCAGCAACCUGGACACUAGAAAUCACAAUGGCCCCAUGGGGGCUCGUCCUCUAUGCUAUGCCAUGGAGGUUCAGCCUCACCAAUAUUGGUAAGUGAGACUGUGCCAGCCUUCGAACUACUCUGCCUGGCGGAGCAUUGAUGUGGCCCCCAGACUUGGCGACUUCCAUAGCCCUCUCCGAGCCUAGGGUAACACUGCAGGUAGCAGGUAAGUCCAUUUUCUUUCUUUUCGACAUGGGAGCGACCUCUGUUUUAACAUCUCAGUCAGGCCCUACGUUCCCCUCACCAGUUUCAGUCACGGGGGUAGACGGGACCUGCUCCUCCCCACUUAAAACUCUGCCCUUCCAACAGCUCCUGCACUUGCUCUUCCAGACCCCACGAGACCUCACCACCUCUAUACAGAUGAGAGGUCAGAUGUGGCCAGGCGAGUUCUAACCCAACAGGCUGGGCCUUCGAUUCCAGAUGUCGCCUUUUUAUCCAGACAACGGGACCUCACUGUCUGUGGAUGGCAGCCAUGUCUAAGAGCCUGUUGGCAGUAGCAGCUGAACUCGGGAGGCUCUCAAGAUCCCCUUGUCUGGGCCAAUCACAGUAUAUUCCACCCAUCGCCUCUCAGACCUUCUGAGACACUCCUUUCUCUCUCUUUCCUUGAGCCUUCGCAAGUCCAGGUUUUUCACUUACUAUUUCUAGAAAACCCCCAAACUACUUUGGCCUCCAGUCCUGCCCUAAAGCCCCCCCAACUCUCCUUCCUGCUUCUUCCCCCUCGAGUACCUCCUCUCACUCUUGCCCAGAGGCUGUAGAGGCUUUAAACUUACCCUGGCCAGGUCUUCUAGACCAGCCACUUACAGAUCCCCAACUCACCCUGUUUGUUGAUGGAAGCUCCCUUAUAGAUAAAUCAGGAAACCACCAGACAGGUAUGCAGUGGUCAUUUCCACUAACAGUAGAAGUGACCCGCCUGCCAAUGGGAAACUUCUCACAAAAGGCCGAAUUAAUUGCCUUGACUAGGACACUCCAAAUAGCCAAGGGCCAAUGGGCUAAUAUCUAUACUGACUCUAAAUGUGCCUUCUUGAUAGCCCACAUUCAUUCUACAUUCUGGAAGGAAAGUGGCUUCCUUACUACCAAGGGCACUCCCAUAGUUAACAGACCCCUUAUAGCCAACCUCUUGGAGGCCCUUCUGCUCCCCACAGAAGUAGGCAUUAUUCACUGUCAGGGACACCAAUCCUCCUAGGACCCAGUGGCCUUAGGCAAUGCCAAGGCUGACUCAAUGGCCUGGGGACUGGCCUCCAGCUCCUCUUAUUCCUCAGAACAUAUUUUGUUCUCCCUUCCCCGCCCUUCUGUAGCUUUGGAGCCUGUCCUGGAACUCACUCUGCAGAAUAGACUGGCCUCAAACUCACAGAGAUCCACCUGCCUCUGCCUCCCAAGUGCUGGGAUUAAAGGCGUGCGCCACCAAGCCCGACUACGUAUUUUGUACUUAACUCCCUCCUAUCAGCCCUAUUACCAACCAAAAGAGAGGGACAAGCUCAUAAAAAGGAGGGCCACAAAAACAAAGGAUGGAUGGUUCUACUUAAAUAACCGUCCCGUCCUUCCUCAUGACCAGGCAUUGUUGACCAUUUCAGACAUCCACCAGACCUUACACGUAGGCCCCAAAGCUUUGUUCCACUUCUUGGAGCCCCUCUUUGACCCCACCCAUCUCUGAGAUCGUAUUUCACAGGUUCACUCCUCCUGCCAGACAUGUGCCCAGACCAAUCCACAGGGGGCUCUCCACAUACAUCAGUCUCUAUAUCAGCUUUGUGGACACCAACCAGGCGUGGAUUGGUAGGUUGAUUUCACCCACAUGUCUACUCAUAAAAAACUCUGUUAUCUCCUAACACUUGUGGACACUUUUACAGGGUGGAUAGAAGCGUUUCUGGCCUCUAGGGAAACGGCAGAUGUGGUGGCUCAGGUACUCCUGGACCAUAUCAUUCCUCGGUUUGGCAUUCCGCAGGCCAUCCACACAAACAAUGGCCCAGAUUUCACUUCCAGGGUCAUGGAGCUCGUGUCAGAUGCUCUCAACAUCUCCUGGAAAUUCCACAUCCCCUACCACACACAAUCCUCGAGAAAGGUGGAGAGGGCCAAUGGACUCAUCAGCCAACAGCUAAUAAUCUCUCUAUUGAACUCAGGUUAUCUUGGCUCCCCUCUUCUCCCCAUUGCCCUUACUCACCUCAGGGCCACCCCACAUUUCUCUACAGGUCUGAGCCCUUUUGAGCUCCUUUACAGCAGGCCAUUUCUCCUUAACCAUCACCUCCCAGACCAAACUCCUCCUCUGGUGGGGUCCCUACCCUACCUCUCCCUUCUGAGGUCUCUUCUCUGUUCACAUGCUGACAGCUGUCUACCUGCCUCCACACCAGUGGACCCUAAUGCCCCUGAACCUGCCCCGCUCUCUCCAGGGGACAGAGUAUUCCUCAAACAGCUAGUUCCUAGGUCUCUUGAACCUUAAUGGACAGGACCUCACACGGUAAUCCUCACUACCCCCUCAGCUGCCAAGCUCUUGGGACAUCCAUGCUGGUACCAUCUCUUCAGGCUCAAGUGGGUCCCUACUCAGGAUACUUUGUCUGUCCAGCAGUUAGGACCUUCCACACUGUGGUUUUCCAAGAUGCCACAAUGAGGGGCGUAUCAGCUCCUUAUCCUGGCACACUCAUCUUUGUUGAUACAAACAAGAUGAGUAAUAACAAUAUUUUUUUCUUCUAGUCACCUGCCUUCUCAUCUCCCUCAAGGAACAGAUGCCUGGUGUCUCUGGGAUGACAGUAAACAGGAUGCCUUUUCAGCCACACCUCUUGCUGAGUGUGAGCCCACCUCUCUCCCUCCUAAUAUCACCCCUCCCUGACAUCACCCCAUGCCCACAGGAAGUAGCCAGACUUGAGUCAACACCCCUUUAUCCAAAGAGAGCCUAAAAUGUUGGUCAUUAGCAUCACCUCAGCUCCUUGCCACCCCCUUAUACAAAGAGUCUGGAAUAUUAAGUUGGGGGCCUCAUCCCAGCCCCUGGUAUCCAUCUUUGGAAGUCCACCUCCCCAGGGAGGGUCAAGGAAGCCCAUCAAACCUUGACCCCUCCCCAGGAAAGGUCAAGAUCACUCCCACAGGCUAUUUAAACUGCCCCUCAGAGAUUAAAUAUGUGGUCUUCCCUGUUUCUCUUUGGUGGUCAUGUUGGCUUUCCGUUCCCCCUUUGGGCCAUCCGAGAGCGCAGAUGUCCAAUUAAACCUGGAUAUCUUUUAAUUUGGUCUGAUUUGGUCUGAUUGAGAUUAUUUGCAUCAGUGAAGAGGCUUGGCUUUAAGAAAAAUUCCUAACACCCUGGGCUCGGGAACCGGAGAAUCUGCCUGAACAGCGACCUCUAUGCACACCAGUGGCUUUGGUGGUUUUCAUGUUUUCAGCUAUGGUAUAAGCCCUCAAAGUAUCAGCCACCCGCCUGUGAACGCUCUGCCGGUAUCCCGCCGCCUCUGCUUUUCCUCAGACUGUCCCUGCCCCCACUACCGCUGGUCCCACAGAAACAAGCUCAAAAAACAUGGUUUCUCCAUACAACCCGUGGCUGCCACCAUCUUAACUGAGGUCAGGUGACUUCACCACCAUCUGAACUGAGAGCCAGAUAAGGUGACCAAGUCCCGCCGUCUUUACUGAGGUAUUCCCUGCCGGGUUCCCCCCCCACCCCCCCACCCCGUGCUGACUCUGUUACAUGUGUGUUUUGCGCAGUGGCAUGCCUUUGGUAGGGCCUACCAAAGCAUCCAC